CCUACGUGAGGCAGCAGUAGGGAAUAUUGGUCAAUGGGCUUACGCCUGAACCAGCCAAGUCGCGUGAGGGAAGACUGCCCUAUGGGUUGUAAACCUCUUUUGUCAGGGAGCAACGCCGGCUACGUGUAGCCGGACUGAGAGUACCUGAAGAAAAAGCAUCGGCUAACUCCGUGCCAGCAGCCGCGGUAAUACGGAGGAUGCGAGCGUUAUCCGGAUUUAUUGGGUUUAAAGGGUGUGUAGGCGGAAUGCCAAGUCAGCGGUAAAAUCGCGGGGCUCAACCUCGCUCCGCCGUUGAAACUGGCGUUCUUGAGUGGGCGAGAAGUAUGCGGAAUGCGUGGUGUAGCGGUGAAAUGCAUAGAUAUCACGCAGAACUCCGAUUGCGAAGGCAGCAUACCGGCGCCCAACUGACGCUGAAGCACGAAAGCGUGGGUAUCGAACAGGAUUAGAUACCCGAGUAGUC
RNAcentral lists this ribosomal RNA (460 nucleotides) under uncultured bacterium. RNAcentral's name for it is "partial 16S ribosomal RNA". It matches the Rfam family "Bacterial small subunit ribosomal RNA", at positions 338 to 795 of the family's 1533-position model. The record is from RNAcentral.